AAUUCAUAUGUAAAUAAAGCAAAAUUUAAAAUAUGCAAAAAGUUAGCUCAGAUAAGUUCCGUAGAAUUUGCAGCAUGUAAGAAUAGCUUAAAGCAAUGUGGUAAUAAUGCUGGGUCAGAGAAUUCUUAUAUGAUUCUAAUGUUUUACAGCCAAAUCAGAGCUGGUUUUGUAUCUCCAUGCCAACUAUUUCCAAUGUGCUCUUGAAAAUUUUAGGAAAGCUUGACAGCACUUUAUGAUAACUAUUUAAUAUUUGCCUUGAUAAUCAUGAAGGUAAUAAAACAAGAAUUCAUUGGUUUGAAUUUUGGACCAGUUUCAAGGGUAAUUCUGUCAGGAUGGAUAAGGAACUAACUUCCAUAUUCUUAAAUACAGUCACAGAAAUUUACAAAUGUAGGGUAUGAGGAUUAUUGAAAUUUGCCCAUCUACCUCUCCACCAUGAUGAUAUAGAAAUAUAGUUCACAAAAUUUCCAAAAUUAGAAAACCUUUGAGAAUAAUUUGAUUUUGCUCCAAAGGCUGAAGAAUCCAUGAGUUUACACUUUUUUAGGCAGAGUUCUGGCAGAAGCAAUGACCAGAGAGAAAUCCCGAGGCUGAUGGCUUUGCUGAGGUUUGGUCACCAUACAUGAAUGGCACUUCACUCUUCUUAUACCCUGAGUAGUUAACUGGGUGUCACAUUCCCUAAACAAUUUAAUAUUGCUUUGUUGAUAAUUUUUUGAACAACAUUUUAAAAUUUUUAAUUGUUUUUAUUGGUUUGUGAGAGACUACAAAAGAAGCAGAGAUUUCCAAAUGCCCAGAAGAGCUAUGACUGGACCACAUCAAAGCCAGGAGCUCUGAACUCAGUUCAGGUCCAGCCCUGGUGGCAGGGAGUCAACAAUUUGGGACACCAUCUACUUCCUUCCAUGGUGCUUAUUAGCAGGAAACUGGAAUUGAAAUCUGAGCUGGUACUGGAAUCCAGGUACUCUGUUAUGGAAUGUGUUCAUUCCAAACAGCAUUUAACUGUGGUGCUGCACACCUGCCCUGCACUCACUCUGUGCAGGUGUCACAAAAUGGAAUAUGAUUCUGUGAACCUUAAGUUUGGUUGGUCUUGGGAAUGUGCUUAUUUUCACUGGUUGCUACACAGAUUGAUAUCUUCAGUCACUACACACAAGAGAAGCAGGUAAAUAAAAAUGGCCAGAAAGAAAAUAAACAAUUGUAACAAAGUUACA
RNAcentral lists this long non-coding RNA (1199 nucleotides) under Oryctolagus cuniculus (rabbit). Its description in RNAcentral is "lncRNA (ENSOCUG00000034175.1)". The record is from RNAcentral. Lineage: Eukaryota; Metazoa; Chordata; Mammalia; Lagomorpha; Leporidae.